This 557-nucleotide ribosomal RNA is filed under the name uncultured bacterium. RNAcentral's name for it is "bacterial SSU rRNA". It matches the Rfam family "Bacterial small subunit ribosomal RNA", at positions 102 to 694 of the family's 1533-position model. The record is from RNAcentral.
ACGGGUGAGUAACGCGUGGGAAUCUACCGUACCCUACGGAAUAGCUCCGGGAAACUGGAAGUAAUACCGUAUACGCCCGAAAGGGGAAAGAUUUAUCGGGGUAUGAUGAGCCCGCGUUGGAUUAGCUAGUUGGUGGGGUAAAGGCCUACCAAGGCGACGAUCCAUAGCUGGUCUGAGAGGAUGAUCAGCCACAUUGGGACUGAGACACGGCCCAAACUCCUACGGGAGGCAGCAGUGGGGAAUAUUGGACAAUGGGGGCAACCCUGAUCCAGCCGUGCCGCGUGAGUGAUGAAGGUCUUAGGAUUGUAAAGCUCUUUCACCGAUGAAGAUAAUGACGGUAGUCGGAGAAGAAGCCCCGGCAAACUUCGUGCCAGCAGCCGCAGUAAUACGAAGGGGGCUAGCGUUGUUCGGAAUUACUGGGCGUAAAGCGCACGUAGGCGGAUAAUUAAGUCAGGGGUGAAAUCCCGCAGCUCAACUGCGGAACUGCCUUUGAUACUGGUUAUCUUGAGUAUGGAAGAGGUAAGUGGAAUUGCGAGUGUAGAGGUGAAAUUCGUAGA